UACGUAGGGUGCAAGCGUUAAUCGGAAUUACUGGGCGUAAAGCGUGCGCAGGCGGUGAUGUAAGACAGAUGUGAAAUCCCCGGGCUCAACCUGGGAACUGCAUUUGUGACUGCAUCGCUGGAGUGCGGCAGAGGGGGAUGGAAUUCCGCGUGUAGCAGUGAAAUGCGUAGAUAUCUGGAGGAACACCGGUGGCGAAGGCGACGUCCUGGACCGGCAUUGACGCUGAGGCGCGAAAGCCAGGGGAGCAAACGGG
RNAcentral lists this ribosomal RNA (253 nucleotides) under uncultured bacterium. Its description in RNAcentral is "partial 16S ribosomal RNA". It matches the Rfam family "Bacterial small subunit ribosomal RNA", at positions 524 to 776 of the family's 1533-position model. The record is from RNAcentral.